AACGAACGCUGGCGGCAUGCCUAACACAUGCAAGUCGAACGAGACCUUCGGGUCUAGUGGCGCACGGGUGCGUGACGCGUGGGAACCUGCCCUUAGGUUCGGAAUAACUCCCCGAAAGGGGUGCUAAUACCGGUUAAUGUCUUAGGACCAAAGAUUUAUCGCGUUUGGAUGGGCCCGCGUUGGAUUAGCUAGUUGGUAGGGUAAAAGCCUACCAAGGCGACGAUGCAUAGCUGGUCUGAGAGGAUGACCAGCCACACUGGGACUGAGACACGGCCCAGACUCCGACGGGAGGCAGCAGUGGGGAAUAUUGGACAAUGGGCGAAAGCCUGAUCCAGCAAUGCCGCGUGAGUGAUGAAGGCCUGAGGGUUGUAAAGCUCUUUUACCCGGGAUGAUAAUGACAGUACCGGGAGAAUAAGCUCCGGCUAACUCCGUG
This 433-nucleotide ribosomal RNA is filed under the name uncultured bacterium. Its description in RNAcentral is "partial 16S ribosomal RNA". It matches the Rfam family "Bacterial small subunit ribosomal RNA", at positions 29 to 507 of the family's 1533-position model. The record is from RNAcentral.